UACCUGCAGCUCGAGUGGUAACCGCUAUUAUUGGGCCUAAAGCGUCCGUAGCCGGUUUGGUAAAUAUCUGGGUAAAUCGUGAGGCUUAACUUCACGAAUUUUGGAUAGACUGCCAGACUUGGGAUCGGGGGAGGUCAGAGGUACUCCAGGGGUAGCGGUGAAAUGUUGUAAUCCUUGGAGGACCACCGGUAGCGAAGGCGUCUGACUAGAACGAGUCCGGCGGUGAGGGACGAAGCCCUGGGGCGCAAACCGGAUUAGAUACCCGGGUAGUCCAGGGUGUAAACAAUGUGGGCUUUGUAUUGGAGAUCCCACGUGGGUGUCCAGUGCAGAAGAGAAGUUGUUAAGCCCACCGCCUGGGAAGUACGGUCGCAAGGCUGAAACUUAAAGGAAUUGGCGGGGGAGCACAGCAACGGGAGGAGCGUGCGGUUU
RNAcentral lists this ribosomal RNA (429 nucleotides) under uncultured archaeon. Its description in RNAcentral is "bacterial SSU rRNA". It matches the Rfam family "Archaeal small subunit ribosomal RNA", at positions 474 to 903 of the family's 1478-position model. The record is from RNAcentral.